UGGGGAAUUUUGGACAAUGGGCGAAAGCCUGAUCCAGCAAUGCCGCGUGAGUGAAGAAGGCCUUAGGGUUGUAAAGCUCUUUUAGUUGAGAAGAAAAAAUUAUAAUAAAUAAUUAUAGUUUAUGACGGUAUCAACAGAAAAAGCACCGGCUAACUACGUGCCAGCAGCCGCGGUAAUACGUAGGGUGCAAGCGUUAAUCGGAAUUACUGGGCGUAAAGGGUGCGCAGGCGGUUUUGUAAGUCAGAUGUGAAAUCCCCGGGCUUAACCUGGGAAUUGCGUUUGAAACUGCACAACUAGAGUGUGGCAGAGGGGGGUGGAAUUCCAUGUGUAGCAGUGAAAUGCGUAGAGAUAUGGAAGAACAUCGAUGGCGAAGGCAGCCCCCUGGGCUAGCACUGACGCUCAUGCACGAAAGCGUGGGGAGCAAACA
This 427-nucleotide ribosomal RNA is filed under the name uncultured bacterium. RNAcentral describes it as "bacterial SSU rRNA". It matches the Rfam family "Bacterial small subunit ribosomal RNA", at positions 355 to 774 of the family's 1533-position model. The record is from RNAcentral.